UUUGAUCUGGCUUGUGUACCUAACACCAAGU
This 31-nucleotide non-coding RNA is filed under the name Rattus norvegicus (Norway rat). Lineage: Eukaryota; Metazoa; Chordata; Mammalia; Rodentia; Muridae. The record is from RNAcentral.